This 397-nucleotide ribosomal RNA is filed under the name uncultured bacterium. RNAcentral describes it as "bacterial SSU rRNA". It matches the Rfam family "Bacterial small subunit ribosomal RNA", at positions 362 to 776 of the family's 1533-position model. The record is from RNAcentral.
UAUUGCACAAUGGGGGCAACCCUGAUGCAGCGACGCCGCGUGAGUGAAGAAGUAUUUCGGUAUGUAAAGCUCUCUCAGCAGGGAAGAUAAUGACGGUACCUGACUUAGAAGCCCCGGCUAACUACGUGCCAGCCGCCGCGGUAAUCCGUAGGGGGCAAGCGUUAUCCGGAUUUACUGGGUGUAAAGGGAGCGUAGGUGGCAGGGCAAGUCAGAUGUGAAAACCCGGGGCUCAACCCCGGGAGUGCAUUUGAAACUGUCCAGCUGGAGUGCAGGAGAGGUAAGCGGAAUUCCUAGUGUAGCGGUGAAAUGCAUAGAUAUUAGGAGGAACACCAGUGGCGAAGGCGGCUUACUGGACUGUAACUGACGUUGAGGCUCGAAAGCGUGGGGAGCAAACAGG